RNAcentral lists this ribosomal RNA (370 nucleotides) under uncultured Lactobacillus sp. Its description in RNAcentral is "bacterial SSU rRNA". It matches the Rfam family "Bacterial small subunit ribosomal RNA", at positions 9 to 353 of the family's 1533-position model. Lineage: Bacteria; Bacillati; Bacillota; Bacilli; Lactobacillales; Lactobacillaceae. The record is from RNAcentral.
GAGUUUGAUCGUGGCUCAGGACGAACGCUGGCGGCGUGCCUAAUACAUGCAAGUCGAGCGAGCUGAACCAGCAGAUUCACUUCGGUGAUGACGCUGGGAACGCGAGCGGCGGAUGGGUGAGUAACACGUGGGUAACCUGCCCUAAAGUCUGGGAUACCACUUGGAAACAGGUGCUAAUACCGGAUAACAACAAUAGCUGCAUGGCUAUUGCUUAAAAGGCGGCGAAAGCUGUCGCUAAAGGAUGGACCCGCGGUGCAUUAGCUAGUUGGUAAGGUAAUGGCUUACCAAGGCGACGAUGCAUAGCCGAGUUGAGAGACUGAUCGGCCACAUUGGGACUGAGACACGGCCCAAACUCCUACGGGAGGCAGCA